AGAGUUUGAUCCUGGCUCAGAAUGAACGCUGUCUGCAUGGAUUAGGCAUGCAGGUCGAACGGGAUCUUUUUUAACAAUCCUUCGGGUGCGUUAAUUAAGUGAGAGUGGCGAAAGGGUGAGUAACGCGUGAGCAACCUGCCUCUAUGUCGGGGACAACAGUUGGAAACGACUGCUAAUACCGGAUGUGGCUGUAAUAUCGCAUGUUUUUAUAGCUAAAGAUUUAUUGCAUAGAGAUGGGCUCGCGUACCAUUAGCUAGUUGGUGAGGUAACGGCUUACCAAGGCGACGAUGGUUAGGUGGUCUGAGAGGACGAUCACCCACACUGGGACUGAGACACUGCCCAGACUCCUACGGGAGGCUGCAGUCGAGAAUCUUCCGCAAUGCGCGAAAGCGUGACGGAGCAAUGCAGAGUGUGUGAUGAAGGUCUUCGGAUUGUAAAGCACUGUCAACGGGGACGAAUAAAAUGACGGUACCUGUAGAGGAAGCACCGGCUAAAUACGUGCCAGCAGCCGCGGUAAUACGUAUGGUGCAAGCGUUAUUCGGAUUUAUUGGGCGUAAAGGGUCCGUAGGUGGUUUAUUAAGUCAGAUGUGAAAUCCUGAGGCUCAACCUCAGAACUGCAUUUGAAACUGAUGAACUAGAGUAUUGGAGAGGUAAGUGGAAUUCCAGGUGUAGCGGUGGAAUGCGUAGAUAUCUGGAGGAACACCAAAAGCGAAGGCAGCUUACUGGACAAUUACUGACACUGAGGGACGAAGGCGUGGGUAGCGAAAAGGAUUAGAUACCCUUGUAGUCCACGCAGUAAACGUUGUAUACUAGUUGUGGGGGGAAUUAGCCCCCUCCGUGACUGAGCUAACGCAUUAAGUAUACCGCCUGGGGACUACGGCCGCAAGGCUAAAACUCAAAGGAAUUGACGGGGACCCGCACAAGCGGUGGAGCAUGUGGCUUAAUUCGAGGCAACGCGAAGAACCUUACCUGGUCUUGACAUAUUUACGAUCGCUGUAGAAAUACAGUUUUUCCUUCGGGACGUUUAUACAGGUGCUGCAUGGCUGUCGUCAGCUCGUGCUGUGAAGUGUUCGGUUAAGUCCGGCAACGAGCGCAACCCACGUCAUUAUUUGCCAUCAGGUUAUGCUGGGAACUAUAAUGAGACUGCCCGUGUUAAACGGGAGGAAGGCGUGGACGACGUCAAGUCAGUAUGGCCCUUAUGACCAGGGCUGCACACGUGCUACAAUGGGCGAUACAGAGGGAUACAAUGCCGCGAGGUGGAGCAAAUCCGUAAAGUCGUCCUUAGUUCGGAUUGUAGUCUGCAACUCGACUACAUGAAGGUGGAAUCGCUAGUAAAGGCGUAUCAGCAUUGACGCCUUGAAUACGUUCCCGGGUCUUGUACACACCGCCCGUCACAUCAUGGAAGCGGAUUGCACCCGAAGCCGGUGGUCUAACCUUUUAUUAGGAGGAAGCCGUCGAAGGUGUGGUUGGUGACUGGGAUGAAGUCGUAACAAGGUA
RNAcentral lists this ribosomal RNA (1497 nucleotides) under metagenome. RNAcentral describes it as "bacterial SSU rRNA". It matches the Rfam family "Bacterial small subunit ribosomal RNA". The record is from RNAcentral.